AGAGUUUGAUCCUGGCUCAGGACGAACGCUGGCGGCGUGCUUAACACAUGCAAGUCGAGCGGUAAGGCCCUUCGGGGUACACGAGCGGCGAACGGGUGAGUAACACGUGGGUGAUCUGCCUCGUACUCUGGGAUAAGCCUGGGAAACUGGGUCUAAUACCGGAUAUGACUACUGCCUGCAUGGGUGGUGGUGGAAAGAUU
RNAcentral lists this ribosomal RNA (200 nucleotides) under uncultured bacterium. RNAcentral describes it as "partial 16S ribosomal RNA". It matches the Rfam family "Bacterial small subunit ribosomal RNA", at positions 8 to 210 of the family's 1533-position model. The record is from RNAcentral.